CCCUCACUCUAAUAUAAGUCCCUUGCUUUUCUUGUCCACAAAAAUUGCAUAUCCAUUUACAAUUACCCCCUCCUUCUCCAGUUUUCUCUAGUUUAGUUACAUAUCUCCACAGAGGAUUAAAUUCUUCCUCCCUAGUUUUUGAAGAAGUGCCACUAGUGCUAUUUGCUUGGGGAGAAUUUGAGUUUGAAGAAUCCAUUCAAAUAUUGUCCUGGGAGAAUCGGCUGGUGCUGCUGCUUUUUUUUUUUUUUUUUUUUGGUU
Molecule: unclassified non-coding RNA, 258 nt
Filed under: Hevea brasiliensis (rubber tree)
Lineage: Eukaryota; Viridiplantae; Streptophyta; Magnoliopsida; Malpighiales; Euphorbiaceae
Source: RNAcentral